CUACGUGCCAGCAGCCGCGGUAAUACGUAGGGUGCGAGCGUUAAUCGGAAUUACUGGGCGUAAAGCGAGCGCAGACGGUUACUUAAGCAGGAUGUGAAAUCCCCGGGCUUAACCUGGGAACUGCGUUCUGAACUGGGUAGCUAGAGUAUGUCAGAGGGGGGUAGAAUUCCACGUGUAGCAGUGAAAUGCGUAGAGAUGUGGAGGAAUACCGAUGGCGAAGGCAGCCCCCUGGGAUAAUACUGACGUUCAUGCUCGAAAGCGUGGGUAGCAAACAGGAUUAGAUACCCUGGUAGUCCACGCCCUAAACGAUGUCGAUUAGCUGUUGGGCAGCUUGACUGCUUAGUAGCGUAGCUAACGCGUGAAAUCGACCGCCUGGGGAGUACGGUCGCAAGAUUAAAACUCAAAGGAAUUGACGGGGACCCGCACAAGCGGUGGAUGAUGUGGAUUAAUUCGAUGCAACGCGAGGAACCUUACCUGGUCUUGACAU
This 487-nucleotide ribosomal RNA is filed under the name uncultured bacterium. RNAcentral describes it as "bacterial SSU rRNA". It matches the Rfam family "Bacterial small subunit ribosomal RNA", at positions 501 to 987 of the family's 1533-position model. The record is from RNAcentral.